Molecule: microRNA precursor, 109 nt
Organism: Sorghum bicolor (sorghum)
Lineage: Eukaryota; Viridiplantae; Streptophyta; Magnoliopsida; Poales; Poaceae
Rfam family: MIR5565 microRNA precursor family
Source: Rfam
GUUGUCGUAUUCACUUCAAUCUAUAUAUGUUGGUGUAGAUUGGAGUGGAAUUUAGUUCAAGUUCCACUUCAAUUCACCUCAACACACGUGGAUUGGUGUGAAUCCGACA